UCAUGCAUGCCUAGUAUGCUUAGAGUGGGUUCACAUUAUGCAUCGUCUUCUGGAACUGGAUACAUAUGGAUCUCCUCUGUGAUCACAAACAUACUGAAGCUGUUGUUUAUGUAACAGUCAUCCUGGAGGGAGUUAAUAAGAAUUCAGGUGAUAACAAUCACAGACAAAUAUUUGUUAGUAGACCUCGUUCCCUUCUAGUAGAUCCCAUAAUGUCAGCAUAUAACAUGACUUUUAGGAAUUAGAAAAUGUUUUAAAUAUUAUUGGUCAUGAAUUUCAACACCACAGUAAAAGAACAGUGCCAUGAAGAUGGAACAUUGAUCUAACAGUAGCUGUGAUAUCAUGAGGACAAAGGCUGCUGAUUCAUUGGCUCUUUGGUAUAUGACCAUACAUACAAGCUGUAGGUGUUUUUCUGAUUUGAUUGUUGUAGGUCUAUUAGCUUAGUUUUAAUUGAUUAUUGGCUGUUGUUUCAGAUGGCAAUUGUAAGUACUGCGAGCAUUAUUGACCACUGAUAAUGGAAAGAACAGAGGAGAAUAUUUUAAAUAAAGUUGCACGGACCUG
This is a non-coding RNA of Podarcis lilfordi (Lilford's wall lizard), 558 nucleotides long. The record is from the annotation of a GenBank genome assembly. NCBI's taxonomy places the organism in Eukaryota, Metazoa, Chordata, Lepidosauria, Squamata, Lacertidae.